Ipomoea nil (Japanese morning glory) is the source of this 732-nucleotide long non-coding RNA. RefSeq lists it as uncharacterized. The transcript is spliced from 2 exons. Lineage: Eukaryota; Viridiplantae; Streptophyta; Magnoliopsida; Solanales; Convolvulaceae. The record is from RefSeq and is a predicted model, not a curated record.
UUUUAGUUUUUUUUCUUUUUUUUUUUCUUUUUUUUUUUUCUUUUUUUUUUUACAUUGAAUAUGAGCUGGAGAAUAGUGUUUCUGGUUCUGAUAGAUUGGAUACUAAGGUGGUUAUAAUCUGAUUGGUGUAUUGGAAGAAAUCCUUAUGCACAAUUCUUUAGAAACUUAAUGGAUAUCGAUGACUUCAUAGUUUAUGGGAUUGUAUCAUGUUCUGAUUCUGGUUUGGAUUAGCAUGUAUCACAGAACUUUCCUUCACAGCCAUGUAUGCUUUGGUCAUUUAUGAGUUUCUGAAAGAAUUUACCAUUGCCACAAAGGAACGGAACGGCAACAUACCAAUGCACAUUUUUGUUGAUCAACAUUAUGAGGGGUUGCGAUUAUUCUUCCAUGUUUUGUGUGAUGUGGAAAUACAGUGCGUGUGAAGCAAAAGUGUCGUUCUUACGAAGAUGAUGAUGAUGGCCAUUGAACUGGGAAUGCUGAAUUCAUUCAUGCCAAAUAUGAGAGAUGAUGGAGAACCAACCUCAUACAAAAGAGAUUGGUUUAAGAAUAUUGCUUUGCUUUGGAGAUUGGUGUCUCAAUUAUGUCUUCCCUUUUGAAGCAAAUGUUAUUUAGUUGAACUAUAUUUAUUGAAAAUAAUGCUAAAAUGCUGACAAUCCCCUUUUAUUGUACCCAAACUGUAACUUGGGAGAGAUAGAUCAGAUAUUUUUGAUGUAGUAAUCUUGUUCAGUCUUUCAA